RNAcentral lists this long non-coding RNA (201 nucleotides) under Physcomitrium patens. RNAcentral's name for it is "long non-coding RNA (PPAT_LNC009095)". The record is from RNAcentral. Lineage: Eukaryota; Viridiplantae; Streptophyta; Bryopsida; Funariales; Funariaceae.
GCUAUGGUUUUGGUGCAAAUCUUAUAUGAUUUGAAGUUUAUAUGAAGGAGAUACAAGUGCUCAAAGUUAAGGUGUUGAUUUGGGAGCUACUGUCACUCUUUUUGGCAUAACGCACGUAUACAAACAACAAUUGAGGAUCGGUAAUUGUGAAUAAAGAGAGCACUUUUGCAGCUACACUUUUUACAUACUACUUAUUAGAUU